RNAcentral lists this small RNA (880 nucleotides) under Pongo abelii (Sumatran orangutan). Its description in RNAcentral is "unitary pseudogene". The record is from RNAcentral. Lineage: Eukaryota; Metazoa; Chordata; Mammalia; Primates; Hominidae.
GUGCCUGGUGCUACGACUCCCAGGACCCCAAGUGUGGGAAGAAGCUGGCCCCUGCCUGUGGGGGCCCAGGCCAGUCCCCCAUCGACACUGACCUUCACAUCAUCUUCCAAGGCUAUGACUCAGCACCUCCAGGCCCUUGGACCCUGGAGAAUGACAGCCACACAGUGCUACUCUGAAUGGACACUGAUCCUCAGAACCACCUGGAGAUUUGGGAGGCUGGGCUGCUGUUGCCUGUCUACCGCGCACUGCAGCUGCACUUCAACUGGUGGGGGGGCCCGAGGCGAGCAGACUCGGAGCACAGCCUGGACAGGCAGCGCCAGGCUAUGGAGAUGCACGUGGUCCACAGUAACACAAAGUACCAGAGCAUGGAGGAGGCGCCACACCAUGGUGAUGGGCUCCAGUGCUGGCAGUGCUGCUGGCGGUGCUGCUGGCGGUGCUGCUGGCGGUGGAGCAGGACUGUAGCAACACCAACUUCUGCGCCAUAGUGUCAGGCUUGAGGAAGGUGCCUGAGCCGGGGAUCUCAGUGAAUCUGAUGUCCACCUUCCCGCUGGCGUCGAUGCGGCCGAACACCUCGAGCUACUAUCGCUUCGCUAGGUCGCUGACCCCGCCUGACUGCGAGCGCGCGGUGCUCUGGACCGUCUUCGAGGACCCCAUACCCAUCCGGUGGGUGCAGAUGACCCUGUUCCACACCGUGCCCCAGGCUGGACCCUCCCACUUUCACCCCAUACCGCUCACGGAUAACUUCCGCCCACAGCAGCCUCUUAAGGGGCACGCAGUAUUGGCCUCCCCCAGAGCCUCGGUCCCCGCAGCAGACCCCCGCUCUUCCCCCACCCUAGCAGGUGUGCACUGUGCUCUGAUGGGCCUGGGGCUCAGCUUGUGG